Non-coding RNA from Panax ginseng (ginseng), 103 nucleotides. Lineage: Eukaryota; Viridiplantae; Streptophyta; Magnoliopsida; Apiales; Araliaceae. The record is from Rfam.
GACGACGGUUUCGGUCAUACAACCAUCAUUUAUACUUUUAGCGACGCUAUAUGUUGUCCGUCGACUAAAAGUAUAGACGACGGUUGUAUGACCGAAACGUCGC